GGCGAGGGGAGUGAAAAAGAACCUGAAACCGUGUACGUACAAGCAGUGGGAGCACGCUUCGGCGUGUGACUGCGUACCUUUUGUAUAAUGGGUCAGCGACUUAUAUUCUGUAGCAAGGUUAACCGAAUAGGGGAGCCGAAGGGAAACCGAGUCUUAACUGGGCGUUAAGUUGCAGGGUAUAGACCCGAAACCCGGUGAUCUAGCCAUGGGCAGGUUGAAGGUUGGGUAACACUAACUGGAGGACCGAACCGACUAAUGUUGAAAAAUUAGCGGAUGACUUGUGGCUGGGGGUGAAAGGCCAAUCAAACCGGGAGAUAGCUGGUUCUCCCCGAAAGCUAUUUAGGUAGCGCCUCGUGAAUUCAUCUCCGGGGGUAGAGCACUGUUUCGGCAAGGGGGUCAUCCCGACUUACCAACCCGAUGCAAACUGCGAAUACCGGAGAAUGUUAUCACGGGAGACACACGGCGGGUGCUAACGUCCGUCGUGAAGAGGGAAACAACCCAGACCGCCAGCUAAGGUCCCAAAGUCAUGGUUAAGUGGGAAACGAUGUGGGAAGGCCCAGACAGCCAGGAUGUUGGCUUAGAAGCAGCCAUCAUUUAAAGAAAGCGUAAUAGCUCACUGGUCGAGUCGGCCUGCGCGGAAGAUGUAACGGGGCUAAACCAUG
RNAcentral lists this ribosomal RNA (662 nucleotides) under Escherichia coli. RNAcentral describes it as "partial 23S ribosomal RNA". It matches the Rfam family "Bacterial large subunit ribosomal RNA", at positions 528 to 1191 of the family's 2925-position model. The record is from RNAcentral. Lineage: Bacteria; Pseudomonadati; Pseudomonadota; Gammaproteobacteria; Enterobacterales; Enterobacteriaceae.